Molecule: ribosomal RNA, 492 nt
Filed under: uncultured bacterium
Lineage: Bacteria
Description: partial 16S ribosomal RNA
Rfam family: Bacterial small subunit ribosomal RNA
Source: RNAcentral
AGUGAACGCUGGCGGUAGGCCUAACACAUGCAAGUCGAACGGCAGCACAGUAAGAGCUUGCUCUUACGGGUGGCGAGUGGCGGACGGGUGAGGAAUACAUCGGUAUCUACUUUUUCGUGGGGGAUAACGUAGGGAAACUUACGCUAAUACCGCAUACGACCUACGGGUGAAAGCAGGGGAUCUUCGGACCUUGCGCGAUUGAAUGAGCCGAUGUCGGAUUAGCUAGUUGGCGGGGUAAAGGCCCACCAAGGCGACGAUCCGUAGCUGGUCUGAGAGGAUGAUCAGCCCACCUGGAACUGAGACACGGUCCAGACUCCUACGGGAGGCAGCAGUGGGGAAUAUUGGACAAUGGGCGCAAGCCUGAUCCAGCCAUACCGCGUGGGUGAAGAAGGCCUUCGGGUUGUAAAGCCCUUUUGUUGGGAAAGAAAAGCAGCAGGUUAAUACCCCGCUGUUCUGACGGUACCCAAAGAAUAAGCACCGGCUAACUUCGUG